Molecule: ribosomal RNA, 305 nt
Filed under: uncultured Candidatus Saccharibacteria bacterium
Lineage: Bacteria; Candidatus Saccharimonadota
Description: bacterial SSU rRNA
Rfam family: Bacterial small subunit ribosomal RNA
Source: RNAcentral
GAUGAACGCUGGCGGUAUGCCUAAUACAUGCAAGUCGUGCGGAAAGGCCUCUUCGGAGGUACUCGAGCGGCGGACGGCAGAGUAACGCGUAGGAACAUACCCCAAACUGAGGGAUAACUGCUCGAAAGAGUAGCUAAUACCGCAUGUGGUCUUCGGACUAAAGCUUCGGCGGUUUGGGAAUGGCCUGCGUUCGAUUAGCUAGUUGGUGAGGUAAAUGCUCACCAAGGCGACGAUCGAUAGCUGGUCUGAGAGGAUGAUCAGCCUGACUGGAACUGAGACACGGUCCAGACUCCUACGGGUGGCAG